RNAcentral lists this unclassified non-coding RNA (301 nucleotides) under plant metagenome. Its description in RNAcentral is "partial contains 5.8S ribosomal RNA, internal transcribed spacer 2, and large subunit ribosomal RNA". The stretch from base 1 to 103 matches the Rfam family "5.8S ribosomal RNA", at positions 52 to 154 of the family's 154-position model. The record is from RNAcentral.
AAUGCGCUAAGUAAUGUGAAUUGCAGAAUUCAGUGAAUCAUCGAAUCUUUGAACGCACAUUGCGCCCGCCAGUAUUCUGGCGGGCAUGCCUGUUCGAGCGUCAUUUCAACCAUCAAGCCCCGCGCUUGUGUUGGGGACCUGCGGCUGCCGCAGGCCCUGAAAACCAGUGGCGGGCUCGCUGUCACACCGGGCGUAGUAGAUUUUAUCUCGCUCAGGGCGUGCUGCGGGUUCCGGCCGUUAAAAAGCCUUUUUUACCCAAGGUUGACCUCGGAUCAGGUAGGAAGACCCGCUGAACUUAAGC